RNAcentral lists this ribosomal RNA (253 nucleotides) under uncultured bacterium. RNAcentral's name for it is "partial 16S ribosomal RNA". It matches the Rfam family "Bacterial small subunit ribosomal RNA", at positions 524 to 776 of the family's 1533-position model. The record is from RNAcentral.
UACGGAGGGAGCUAGCGUUGUUCGGAAUUACUGGGCGUAAAGCGUGCGUAGGUGGUUCGUUAAGUCUGAUGUGAAAGCCCUGGGCUCAACCUGGGAAUGGCAUUGGAUACUGGCGACCUAGAGUGCGGUAGAGGGGUGUGGAAUUCCCGGUGUAGCAGUGAAAUGCGUAGAUAUCGGGAGGAACAUCUGUGGCGAAGGCGACACCCUGGACCAGCACUGACACUGAGGCACGAAAGCGUGGGGAGCAAACAGG